Long non-coding RNA from Fundulus heteroclitus (mummichog), 785 nucleotides. RefSeq lists it as uncharacterized. The record is from RefSeq and is a predicted model, not a curated record. The transcript is spliced from 3 exons. NCBI's taxonomy places the organism in Eukaryota, Metazoa, Chordata, Actinopteri, Cyprinodontiformes, Fundulidae.
UCCUGAACCUUUUCCCUCUUCCUCGUCCGACAUCCCCGGCCCUCCUGCUCUCCUGCUCGUUCAAACCUCUCCUGUCCAUUACGGCUCUUCAUAAACCUGCAGACGCUCCCGUCCCACAGCGUUUAAUCCCUCCCUGGAUAGAGCCAGGAUCUAAAAUAAGCGGCCACCUGUGGUCGGCGUUGUGUGCGUUUUCACUCGUCUCGGUGAGCGGGCGGCGGGCCAUUCCUGGCCCCUCCCUGCUGCAGGUCCUCCAGCCUCCAGAUGUUCCUGCAAACUGAGCUUUCCCACAUGCCGCCUCCAAACCAAAACCAGUGGAUUUCCCAGAAUACAUCGUGAGGCUGCAGGAAAAAAAAAAAAAAGAGAGAGAGAAGAGUGAAGCAACCAAUCCUAAAACUAUUGAAAGGAAGCACAGCGGCUGGUUCCUGGACAGCAUCACCUGGUGUAUCUCCGCUCUCGGCCUCCGGCUUGACGUCAGCGCUGGUGGUGAACCCGACCACAGCGGCACCAGAACCCUUUGAUGGCGUCCUCCUCUCUAUUAGAGCUCUGCUGUGGAGCGACCAUCACACACGCCGACUCACGGCCUGUAAUUUGUCUCUGCUUUAUUGGCUGUUCUCUCUGACAGACAAACUCAUGGAUAAACUGAGCUGUCAGACGAGUGAAACCAUGGAAAACGCAAAAUAUCUCCAAGUUAUUGGGACGUGUGCUGAUGGUUAACCUAUUAAAUUAUGUUAGUGUUCAUAAACCUGUCUGAAGCUCUAUCAUCAAACUGAAGCAUGAACUCUACC